This 505-nucleotide ribosomal RNA is filed under the name uncultured bacterium. Its description in RNAcentral is "partial 16S ribosomal RNA". It matches the Rfam family "Bacterial small subunit ribosomal RNA", at positions 28 to 507 of the family's 1533-position model. The record is from RNAcentral.
GACGAACGCUGGCGGCGUGCCUAAUACAUGCAAGUAGAACGCACAGUUUAUACCGUAGCUUGCUACACCAUAGACUGUGAGUUGCGAACGGGUGAUUAACGCGUAGGUAACCUGCCUGGUAGCGGGGGAUAACUAUUGGAAACGAUAGCUAAUACCGCAUAAUAUUAAUUAUUGCAUGAUAAUUAAUUGAAAGUUGCAAUUUCACCACUACCAUAUGGACCUGCGUUGUAUUAGCUAGUAGGUGAGGUAACGGCUCACCUAGGCGACGAUACAUAACCGACCUGAGAGGGUGAUCGGCCAAAAUGGGACUGAGACACGGCCCAGAAUCCUAAGGGAGGCAGCAGUAGGGAAUCUUCGGCAAUAGACGAAAGUCUGACCGAGCAAAGCCGCGGGAGUGAAGAAGGUUUUCGGAUCGUAAAGCUCUGUUGUAAGAGAAGAACGGGUGUGAGAGUGGAAAGUUCACACUGUGACGGUAUCUAACCAGAAAGGGACGGCUAACUACGUG